RNAcentral lists this ribosomal RNA (253 nucleotides) under uncultured bacterium. RNAcentral describes it as "partial 16S ribosomal RNA". It matches the Rfam family "Bacterial small subunit ribosomal RNA", at positions 524 to 776 of the family's 1533-position model. The record is from RNAcentral.
UACGUAGGUGGCAAGCGUUGUCCGGAAUUAUUGGGCGUAAAGCGCGCGCAGGCGGUCGAUCAAGUCGAGUGUGAAAGCCCCCGGCUCAACUGGGGAGGGUCAUUCGAUACUGAUCGACUCGAAGGCAGGAGAGGGUAGUGGAAUUCCCGGUGUAGUGGUGAAAUGCGUAGAUAUCGGGAGGAACACCAGUGGCGAAGGCGGCAUCCUGGACUGGUCCUGACACUCAUGAGCGAAAGCGUGGGGAGCGAUCCGG